UGGGCGGCGCGGGGAGGCCGAGGACGGGGCGGGUCGAGGAGGAGCUCGCGGGUGGAGCGGUCCCUGCACGCGUGGCCCCCAUCCCGCUCAGUGCACCGCUGCUGCUGGUGAUGGACUCGCCUGGCUCCUGGCGCCCUCUGACAUGGCACCCUGGGGUACCCACACCUGGACCUGUCCUGCAUUAGGCUGGAGGUGACCCUACAAGGGAUCUGGCUGCUGCCCUCUGCAGACAGGGUAGUUGGUUUCUCCCUCACAAGUGGGAUGCUUCUGGCUCAUGGUGACACUGCUGCACACAGUGGGGACACUGUGCCACCGUAAUGGACAAAUGUGAGGUGUCUGUGGCAAAAUGGGGGCACUUCAUAUUAUGUUACAUGAAAUAGAUCAGACAGGCAGGUUUGUCGCAUGGUUUCUCUUUUAUGGAAAACCCAAAAUAUAUACAAAGUGCAAAGAAAAGAUGACAGGAAGUAGGGGAAUCUUUUUCAAAUGGGAGGGGGGACAGAGACAGAGGGAACGGGUCAGGGAGAAGCAUUAGGCUGCGUUCUGUCCCAGUGCAGGCGCCCCAGCAGGAACCCAGCCACCGUGUACCCCAAAGAUGGAUGCUAAUAGAUAAAUCAUAACAAAUGGUCGAUUCACGUGAAGACGUUGGCUGUGCUGCGCUUCUUCUGCGGUCGGAGGCACCGUGAUCUGGUCACCUUCCACACCUGUGAGACUUUGGGGGGGACCCUUAGCCCUAAGCCAGACACACAGGCGCAUGAGGCAGCUCUGUGGUUGCCUCCGUGUUCGGGGUGCCAUCCUGCUGAGCCGUGGUGGCUGUCCCUCCGCCUGGCCUGUAGCCUUCCUGGGAGGCAGACGACAGCCCGAUUCCAUCCACAUUCCUGUGGUCCUCGGGGUGUAGGGACCUCUCCACUCAGGAGGGCUUCUUUCUGGUUGGAGAAGAUGCCUCACGGAUCUGACGUCCAAGCCCAGGGAGUCGCCACGUCCAUCUCCAUGCCUGGCCCCAAGAUGCUGCCACUUGUAGCUGCUCCUCUCAAUGGCUCCUGUGGAAAAUCUCCACAGCCCACGCCUGCCCCACCCAGAGUGGCUGUGGGAAGAGCUGUGGACUCCCAGGACACCACCAUUUUCACCUUUGUUUGUUUUUGUUUUGAGAGGAUUUCACUUUGCAAUCCAGGGUACUCAUGAAUUCACUAUGGAGCCAGGGUGACUUUGAACUCACAGUGAUCCUCCUUGCCUCAGUUUCUGAGUCCUGGGAUUUCAAGUGUGUGCCACCCUGGUUCCUGUGGGCUUUUUGUGUCUGUUGGAGGCAAAACUGUGGAUUCGUCGUGGGCUCCUUUCUACCCUAAAUAUAACCAGACACCCAUGCUCAUCUUUUCCAGUCCCCAGCACUUCUCUGUGUCUGUCUUCUGUGUCCCUGCUGCCCUCAUGGUCUCCUGCUGUGUACCUGAACCCCUCAGCCUCAGGCAGCUGGUGGUGAGCCCAUUUCCUGAGCGUGGGGUCCCCGGUGUGGGGACAGGAGACCAUCCCACCAGACACAGAGGGAAAUACUACAACGGGAUUAAUACAGAUUUUUAAACUAAAAACAAGAAUGAAGUGCUUCUAAUUUUCAUUUAUUUUUGGUAUCAGGGAUUAAACUCACAAAAAACCAAUGUCUUUUUUUCUUCUUUGGUAUCAGAGAUUGAACUCACGACUUCGUGAUUGCCAGGCAGGCACUGUGAGCUGUAUCCCGGCCCUCUGAUGUUUAAUUUUGAAGCUCCAAGUGGUUGCAUGUGCUGUCGCAAUGGUACCCAGUGAUGCACAGCCUAGAUCAUCCCCAGGGCUGGAGUGGCCUCUCUGUAUCCCUUCAUUUUCCGAGUGUUUGGACACAGUCUGUGAGUAGAUGAAUUGGGUGUGUGGGCUGCAUGACCUGGUGUGAGCUAAAACUCAGAGAGCAAACAAGGGUUAGAAAGAUCCUCACCGAGAAAAUUUCCCCCAAGCACUCCAGAAGGGAGCAGGAGAGGCAUGGUUCCUACCCUGAUAGAGAUCCUUGGCCCAUUUCAAUUCCAGGUGAUCAGGCAGGGCAAGAACAAUUGGUCAUCACUGACACUUUCUGAGGAUGGAUGUCCACAUCAGGGGCUGAGGAUUUAGCUCAGUGUCACAAGCACCUACCUGGCAAGCAUGAGGUCAUGAGUUCAAUGCCUAGUAUACCCCCCCCCCCCCAAAAAAAGGUCCACGUCUGUCAUUGGUUAACUUCAUUCAGAGUGAAUGUUGAAACUUCACUGACAAACUAGGAACAUAGUCUAUAUGUAAAUAAACACUAAUCCUCCUGCCUCA
Cavia porcellus (domestic guinea pig) is the source of this 2307-nucleotide long non-coding RNA. RefSeq lists it as uncharacterized. NCBI's taxonomy places the organism in Eukaryota, Metazoa, Chordata, Mammalia, Rodentia, Caviidae. The transcript has 3 exons. The record is from RefSeq and is a predicted model, not a curated record.